GACGAACGCUGGCGGCGUGCUUAACACAUGCAAGUCGAGCGGUAAGGCCCUUUCGGGGUACGACGAGCGGCGAACGGGUGAGUAACACGUGGGUGACCUGCCCUCCAGCUCUGGGAUAAGCCUGGGAAACCGGGUCUAAUACUGGAUAUGACUCCAUGACGCAUGUUGUGGGGUGGAAAGCCUUGUGCGGCUGAGGAUGGGCCCGCGGCCUAUCAGCUUGUUGGUGGGGUGAGGCCUACCAAGGCGACGACGGGUAGCCGGCCUGAGAGGGCGACCGGCCACACUGGGACUGAGACACGGCCCAGACUCCUACGGGAGGCAGCAGUGGGGAAUCUUGCGCAAUGGGCGAAAGCCUGACGCAGCGACGCCGCGUGAGGGAUGACGGCCU
RNAcentral lists this ribosomal RNA (388 nucleotides) under uncultured bacterium. RNAcentral describes it as "bacterial SSU rRNA". It matches the Rfam family "Bacterial small subunit ribosomal RNA", at positions 28 to 417 of the family's 1533-position model. The record is from RNAcentral.